Lolium perenne is the source of this 517-nucleotide non-coding RNA. The record is from RefSeq and is a predicted model, not a curated record. NCBI's taxonomy places the organism in Eukaryota, Viridiplantae, Streptophyta, Magnoliopsida, Poales, Poaceae.
AGAUGAUUUAACUCAUGUAAAACAACAGUGAUGCGUUCAUCCUCUAUUCCAACAAAGAGCAAUGCAGCAGUCGGAAUUAUGCGUAAAAGAGGAUCUGCAUUGAUUUGUGAUGCUUGGAAAGAAACUCUUUCAAUGGCAGGAUGCAUGCUUUCCGAAAUGAGCACGUCGAAGAGUGGAAUCAAGACGAAUAGUUCUGCUGCAGGUCCACAACCUUCUAGAUGGCCAUUGGAAUUUAAGAAGAAACAGCAAGAGAUCAUUGAGCUUUGGCACACUUGCAGUAUUUUCUUGGGCCACAAUACUUAACUGUUCUGGCUAUUCAAACGAGAAUCAGCUGACUCCAUUUACACGGAAUUCUUUUGAGUCAACAUCUACACAACGAUUUAAAACGCACUUGGAAGUCAGUAACAAGAUCACUUCGAAAUGUUUCGUAUUUUUUCGGGAUGGAAAUACGUUUCAAGCAAUGGUUGUACUGCAACUAAUGUGCAUCACUUAGGAAACAUGAAAUUGUUGAAGCAAA